This 496-nucleotide ribosomal RNA is filed under the name uncultured bacterium. RNAcentral describes it as "partial 16S ribosomal RNA". It matches the Rfam family "Bacterial small subunit ribosomal RNA", at positions 29 to 507 of the family's 1533-position model. The record is from RNAcentral.
AUGAACGCUGGCGGCGUGCCUAAUACAUGCAAGUCGAGCGAACAGACGAGGAGCUUGCUCCUCUGACGUUAGCGGCGGACGGGGGAGUAACACGUGGAUAACCUACCUAUAAGACUGGGAUAACUUCGGGAAACCGGAGCUAAUACCGGAUAAUAUAUUGAACCGCAUGGUUCAAUAGGGAAAGACGGUUUUGCUGGCACUUAUAGAUGGAUCCGCGCCGCAUUAGCUAGUUGGUAAGGUAACGGCUUACCAAGGCAACGAUGCGUAGCCGACCUGAGAGGGUGAUCGGCCCCACUGGAACUGAGACACGGUCCAGACUCCUACGGGAGGCAGCAGUAGGGAAUCUUACGCAAUGGGCGAAAGCUUGACGGAGCAACGCCGCGUGAGUGAUGAAGGUCUUCGGAUCGUAAAACUCUGUUAUUAGGGAAGAACAAAUGUGUAAGUAACUAUGCACGUCUUGACGGUACCUAAUCAGAAAGCCACGGCUAACUACGUG